This 336-nucleotide unclassified non-coding RNA is filed under the name soil metagenome. Its description in RNAcentral is "partial contains 5.8S ribosomal RNA, internal transcribed spacer 2, and large subunit ribosomal RNA". The stretch from base 1 to 120 matches the Rfam family "5.8S ribosomal RNA", at positions 35 to 154 of the family's 154-position model. The record is from RNAcentral.
GAUGAAGAACGUAGCGAAAUGCGAUAAGUAAUGUGAAUUGCAGAAUUCAGUGAAUCAUCGAAUCUUUGAACGCACAUUGCGCCCGCCAGUAUUCUGGCGGGCAUGCCUGUUCGAGCGUCAUUUCAACCAUCAAGCCCCCGGCUUGUGUUGGGGACCUGCGGCUGCCGCAGGCCCUGAAAAGCAGUGGCGGGCUCGCUGUCACACCGAGCGUAGUAGCAUACAUCUCGCUCUGGGCGUGCUGUGGGUUCCGGCCGUAAAACCACCUUCAUAACCCAAGGUUGACCUCGGAUCAGGUAGGAAGACCCGCUGAACUUAAGCAUAUCAAUAAGCGGAGGA